AGAGUUUGAUCAUGGCUCAGAACGUACGCUGGCGGCACGCCUAACACAUGCAAGUCGAACGAAGUAGCAAUACUUAGUGGCAGACGGGUGAGUAACAUGUAGGUAUCUGCCCUUUGGCCUGGAAUAACACGAGGAAACUUGUGCUAAUACCGGAUAAGUCUUUACGGAGAAAGCUUUAUGCACCAUUGGAUGAGCCUGCACUUGAUUAGUUUGUUGGUGGGGUAAUGGCCUACCAAGACUGUGAUCAAUAGCUGAUUUGAGAGGAUGAUCAGCCACAUUGGGACUGAGACACGGCCCAAACUCCUACGGGAGGCAGCAGUGGGGAAUCUUGCACAAUGGAGGAAACUCUGAUGCAGCGAUGCCGCGUGAGUGAAGAAGGCCUUUGGGUUGUAAAGCUCUUUCGUCGGGGAAGAAAAUGACUGUACCCGAAUAAGAAGGUCCGGCUAACUUCGUGCCAGCAGCCGCGGUAAUACGAAGGGACCUAGCGUAGUUCGGAAUUACUGGGCUUAAAGAGUUCGUAGGUGGUUGAAAAAGUUAGUGGUGAAAUCCCAGAGCUUAACUCUGGAACUGCCAUUAAAACUUUUCAGCUAGAGUAUGAUAGAGGAAAGCAGAAUUUCUAGUGUAGAGGUGAAAUUCGUAGAUAUUAGAAAGAAUACCGAUUGCGAAGGCAGCUUUCUGGAUCAUUACUGACACUGAGGAACGAAAGCAUGGGUAGCGAAGAGGAUUAGAUACCCUCGUAGUCCAUGCCGUAAACGAUGUGUGUUAGACGUUGGAAAUUUAUUUUCAGUGUCGCAGGAAAACCGAUAAACACACCGCCUGGGGAGUACGACCGCAAGGUUAAAACUCAAAUGAAUUGACGGGGACCCGCACAAGUAGUGGAGCAUGUGGUUUAAUUCGAAGAUACGCGCAGAACCUUACCAACACUUGACAUGUUCGUCGCGACUUUAAGAGAUUAGAGUUUUCGGUUCGGCCGGACGAAACACAGGUGCUGCAUGGCUGUCGUCAGCUCGUGUCGUGAGAUGUUGGGUUAAGUCCCGCAACGAGCGCAACCCUCACUUUUAGUUGCCAUCAUUAAGUUGGGCACUCUGAAAGAACUGCCAGUGAUAAGCUGGAGGAAGGUGGGGAUGACGUCAAGUCCUCAUGGCCCUUACGUGUUGGGCUACACACGUGCUACAAUGGUAUUUACAACAGGAAGCAAAACUGCGAAGUUAAGCAAAUCCCUAAAAGAUACCUCAGUUCGGAUUGCACUCUGCAACUCGAGUGCAUGAAGCUGGAAUUACUAGUAAUCGUGGAUCAGCGUGCCACGGUGAAUGCGUUCCCGGGUCUUGUACACACCGCCCGUCACACCAUGGGAGUUGGUUCUACCUUAAGGCAAGGUUUCAAACCCUUGACCACGGUAUAGUCAGCGACUGGGGUGAAGUCGUAACAAGGUAGCCGUAGGGGAACCUGCGGCUG
RNAcentral lists this ribosomal RNA (1455 nucleotides) under Pelagibacteraceae bacterium AG-325-F15. RNAcentral's name for it is "bacterial SSU rRNA". It matches the Rfam family "Bacterial small subunit ribosomal RNA". The record is from RNAcentral. RNAcentral also lists the same sequence under 1 other name. Lineage: Bacteria; Pseudomonadati; Pseudomonadota; Alphaproteobacteria; Candidatus Pelagibacterales; Candidatus Pelagibacteraceae.